RNAcentral lists this ribosomal RNA (772 nucleotides) under Salmonella enterica subsp. enterica serovar Enteritidis. RNAcentral describes it as "partial 23S ribosomal RNA". It matches the Rfam family "Bacterial large subunit ribosomal RNA", at positions 419 to 1190 of the family's 2925-position model. Lineage: Bacteria; Pseudomonadati; Pseudomonadota; Gammaproteobacteria; Enterobacterales; Enterobacteriaceae. The record is from RNAcentral.
GGGACACGUGGUAUCCUGUCUGAAUAUGGGGGGACCAUCCUCCAAGGCUAAAUACUCCUGACUGACCGAUAGUGAACCAGUACCGUGAGGGAAAGGCGAAAAGAACCCCGGCGAGGGGAGUGAAAAAGAACCUGAAACCGUGUACGUACAAGCAGUGGGAGCACAGGUUUACCUGUGUGACUGCGUACCUUUUGUAUAAUGGGUCAGCGACUUAUAUUCUGUAGCAAGGUUAACCGAAUAGGGGAGCCGGAGGGAAACCGAGUCUUAAUUGGGCGUUAAGUUGCAGGGUAUAGACCCGAAACCCGGUGAUCUAGCCAUGGGCAGGUUGAAGGUUGGGUAACACUAACUGGAGGACCGAACCGACUAAUGUUGAAAAAUUAGCGGAUGACCUGUGGCUGGGGGUGAAAGGCCAAUCAAACCGGGAGAUAGCUGGUUCUCCCCGAAAGCUAUUUAGGUAGCGCCUCGUGAACUCAUCUCCGGGGGUAGAGCACUGUUUCGGCUAGGGGGCCAUCCCGGCUUACCAACCCGAUGCAAACUGCGAAUACCGGAGAAUGUUAUCACGGGAGACACACGGCGGGUGCUAACGUCCGUCGUGAAGAGGGAAACAACCCAGACCGCCAGCUAAGGUCCCAAAGUCAUGGUUAAGUGGGAAACGAUGUGGGAAGGCCCAGACAGCCAGGAUGUUGGCUUAGAAGCAGCCAUCAUUUAAAGAAAGCGUAAUAGCUCACUGGUCGAGUCGGCCUGCGCGGAAGAUGUAACGGGGCUAAACCAU